UAGAAGCUUUAAAUACCUGCCUAUGACACAGGUAGCUGUCCACAUCUCAGUUUUGUUCCUUUGGUGUCUCCUGUUCUCAUUGUAAUAGUAUGAUCCUGCAGAGAACAACUGAUGGAGUGAGCUUUGUGCCUACCCUGGCUGCAUUGCUCCAGAGGGACACAAUGAUAUUCAUGGGAAACAGUCCUGUGUCCAAACUUGGCCAGAAACAUCUAUUCAAGCCCAGAAAUGUCGGUGUAUUCCCACAGGAAACAGAGGAGCCUCCAGAACAACAGGGAAAUUGCUAAUCAUACUUCAUCUAAGUGAAGUCUGGCUGUGAAUUACAACUAAGCACAAUGUGAUACUUCUGCAAGGGUGGUCUUUCUCAACAACACCAUCAAGAUCUCAUGCUCUUUCUCUGGUGCUUUGCUUUAGAACAGAAAUCCAGUGCAAUGUGCAUAUGAAGUUCUCUGAGAUGUCUGAAGUAGAUUCACUUAGAAACUGAGAGUAUGCAGAACAUGUGUGGUGCACAAGAUGCUGCUCAAGAACUUGUCUGAAUUCUGUGAGACCACAUAAUUCAUAGUGGAAGAACAUGCCUUUGAAAAUGAGCACCAUUGAGCUAGAGACAAUUUCUGUUGGGAAAAGUGCCAUAUAGUAUCGACAGUGACAACAAAUUGUAUUGUGCGCUGAACAUCUGUUUCCGACUCCCACACUGAUAUUGCAGGUUGGCUACUUCUGAUUUAGUCUUCACAGGCUGCCCAACCACAGAGGAACUGGAAAUUACUGGUUGCAGAAGUGGAAAAAAGACACUGAGAACAUCUACAGAAAAUUACAUCUUCACUUUCCCACCUGCACCAUAUUUCAUCACUUUCUUAGUUUUUCUUCAUUCCUUCUUAAAUCAGCCUUUUUGUUUCUUGUGCGGUUGCACUGAAAAUGUGCCUGUAGUGAUGCCAGUAGCAACAGCUUUCAGUCCCUAUUUCAAAAUGCCAAAUAAAGAACAUUUUGGGAAAAAUCUGAUGCAUGCCUUUCAACUUCCUUGACAGCAGUUGGAAAUGUUAGAGCAAGACUAGCUGGUGUUUCACCU
Molecule: long non-coding RNA, 1060 nt
Organism: Zonotrichia albicollis (white-throated sparrow)
Lineage: Eukaryota; Metazoa; Chordata; Aves; Passeriformes; Passerellidae
Source: RefSeq, a predicted model, not a curated record